RNAcentral lists this ribosomal RNA (489 nucleotides) under uncultured bacterium. Its description in RNAcentral is "bacterial SSU rRNA". It matches the Rfam family "Bacterial small subunit ribosomal RNA", at positions 28 to 507 of the family's 1533-position model. The record is from RNAcentral.
GAUGAACGCUAGCGGCAGGCUUAACACAUGCAAGUCGAGGGGCAGCAUAAUGAAGUAGCAAUACGGAAUUGAUGGCGACCGGCGCACGGGUGCGUAACGCGUAUGCAACCUACCCAUAACAGGGGGAUAACACUGAGAAAUUGGUACUAAUACCCCAUAAUACUUUGGAAGGCAUCUUUUGGAGUUGAAAGUUCAGGCGGUUAUGGAUGGGCAUGCGUUGUAUUAGCUAGAUGGUGGGGUAAUGGCUCACCAUGGCUACGAUACAUAGGGGGACUGAGAGGUUAACCCCCCACACUGGUACUGAGACACGGACCAGACUCCUACGGGAGGCAGCAGUGAGGAAUAUUGGUCAAUGGGCGCGAGCCUGAACCAGCCAAGUAGCGUGAAGGAUGACUGCCCUACGGGUUGUAAACUUCUUUUGUUGGAAUAAAUGAUACUACGUGUAGGAUGAUGAGAGUACCUGACGAAUAAGCAUCGGCUAACUCCGUG